Non-coding RNA from Cinara cedri, 236 nucleotides. NCBI's taxonomy places the organism in Eukaryota, Metazoa, Arthropoda, Insecta, Hemiptera, Aphididae. The record is from the annotation of a GenBank genome assembly.
GUAAAAUGGUACUUAUUUGAAAUCAAUUUGUAGGAAAAAUAAAUCAUUACUAAUACCACUCCUACUGCUUUUAGUAGGUAUACACAUUAAAUUACUUUAUGUUUUAUAUCAUAUAAUAUCGAAUUACGAUAAAAGGGAUUUCCAAUUGCAGAGGAAAUAUUUGGACAACGAUUAUUUUUGAUACAAUUACAUAGAUAUUAGUAUAAUUGAUAAGUUUAAAUUUUUGGAAGAGCACA